Molecule: long non-coding RNA, 1614 nt
Filed under: Marmota monax (woodchuck)
Lineage: Eukaryota; Metazoa; Chordata; Mammalia; Rodentia; Sciuridae
Source: RNAcentral
UAAAUAUUAAAAUUCUCUUUCUCUCUCUCUCUCUUAAAAAAAAGUUUAAAAUACAUAAAUAAAUAAAAAGGUCUAAGGAUGUGACUGAGUGGUAAAUUGUCCCUGGGUUAAAUCCCCAGUACCAUUAAUUAAUUUUAAAAGGGCUGGGGAUGUGGCUUAAUUGUGGAGUGCCCUUGGGUUCAGGGUAAAUUAUUUAUUCAUAGUGGUAUGUCACCCAGACAGGUGUCUAAUUCAACCUCCCUGGUGUCACAGAAAUUUCUGUUACUUUUUUUUUUUUGCAGUACUGGGGAUGGAACCCAGAGCUACAAGGAACUUUCACUAUUGUGAGGCAACCCCUUUUUAAAAUUGUUCUAGGCCCCAGGCUCAGCUAAUUCAGGUGGAUGGGAUAUGGGCUUCCUCACUGAUCCUGCCUCCCCGACCCUGGGUAAUUUAGAGCCAGGUGGAAUGUCAGAUGGCAGAGAAGCAAUGCAAGGUGGAUAGUAUUAAGUCUGUGGGGCUCACUUCUGGUCUUUGCAGCAACAGUGAUCGCUGAGUGAAGAGUGCCUAGGAUAGUUACCCAAAAUGCUGAAUAUCAAAAUCUUCAGCGCCACCUCCCAUUGGGACUAAUCCCAGAAAAUUGCUGACCCCCUGGGCCUGGAGCUAGGCAAGGUGGUGACUAAGAAAUUCAGCAACCAGGGGGACCUGUGUGGAAAUUGGUGAAAGUAUAAGUGGAGAAGAUGUCUACGUUCAGAGUAUCAUGUUGAAAUCCUUGACAAUCUAGUGGAGCUUUUGAUCAUGGUUAAUGCCUGCAAGAUCACUUCAGUCAGCUCAGUUGCUGCAGUCAUCCCAUGUUUCCCUGAUGACUGGCACGAUAAGGAGGACAAGAAGCAGGCUCCACUCUCAGCCAAGCUUGUCGAAAAUAUGCUGUCUGUAGCUGGUGCAGGUCAUAUUAUCACCAUGGAUCUUCAUGCUUCUCAAAUUUAGGGCUUUUUAAAUAUCCCAGUGGACAAUUUGUAUGCAGAGCUGGGUAUCCUGAAUUGAAUUAGGGAGAAUAUCUGAGUGGAGGAACUGCCCUAUUGUGUCACCUGAUGCUGAUGGAGCCAAGAGUGUGACCUUGCAGACUGGUUGAAUGUGGACUUUGUCUAGAUUCACUAGCAACAGAAGGCCAGUGAUGUGGACUGCAUGGUGCUAGUCGGUGGGAAUGAAGACUCCAGUGGCUAUCCUUGUGGAUGACAUGACUGACACUUGUGGCACAGUUUGCCUUGUGGCUGACAAACUUCUCAGCUGGAGCCACCAGAGUUUGUCUUGACUCAUGGAAUCUUUUCUGGCCCAGUCAUUUCUCUCAUCACAGUGCAAGUUUUGAAGCAGUAGUGAUUACUCAUACCAUACCCCGGGAGGUCAAGGUGAAGCAUUGCUCCAAAUUACAGGUGAUUGACAUCUCUAUGAUUCUUGCAGAAGCCAUCAGGAGAGCUCUUAAUGGGGAAUUCUUUCCUACUGUUCAGCUUUGUCCCUUUAUAAUAGAAUAAGUUUUGAGACAUUUUUAUUUAUUUAUUUUGAGGCAUUUUUAAAAGUAAAAACAAACCCCGCUCCUUGUUUUUUUUCCUUGGCAUUUGAUGACAAAUUCGCAGAAGACCC